CCCUAAUCACCUACGAGAAAGUUGAUCUAUCAACGAAUUAAUUAGCAUGUGUACCAAAGGUUGGAUGCUGGGGCAGUCUCCAAAGUCCAAAUGUGCUUGUAACCAGAAGAUAAAUACGGCAUGAUCUCCUGAAACCUCCCAGUCCAACACCGAAUGGUUAGUUCACUCUCUUAUACAAGAGACCACAACUUGGUUUUUCGU
This 201-nucleotide long non-coding RNA is filed under the name Oryza brachyantha (malo sina). RNAcentral describes it as "long non-coding RNA (OBRA_LNC001076)". Lineage: Eukaryota; Viridiplantae; Streptophyta; Magnoliopsida; Poales; Poaceae. The record is from RNAcentral.